UUCCGUUCUACCAAAUUUCAAAAAACGUCAAAAACCCUUCAAAAAACUUUCCGUUCUACCAAAUUUGAAAAAAAAAACGUCGUGUGCCCGGUGAGAUGUUUGUGACUUACCGAAAGUAAAUUUUUGUUCUGCUGUGUUGCUACAUCCAUCUCGUUUCAGAUCAAGAUAAGUCCCGUUAGGCUGACCGCAGGAAUUCACUGCUUUGUCGUAAAAAUAUAAAGAUCCGGCAACUGUCUGUUUUAAACGGUGGUUAUCUUCCUUUUCGAAAUUUAAUCCUAUAUCGUUUUUGCCUUUAUAUACAAACCAACGAUUUUUGUAUCUGUCUGGAUUAUCAUAAAGGGACGCUAAGGUCCCUCUAGUGUCUAUAUUUUGUAACAAUUCUGUAUCAAGAUAACGAAAGCUCGCACUAACAUUCAAGCAGUUAUUAACCAUUUCAGCCCAAUAACGUCUCGCGAUAUUAUUUUCCAAAAACAUUUCUCCUACUGCAAUACAUUUUCCAGACUCAGUAUGCCUAAGAAAAAGGCCUUUGCAAUCUAGAAACAGAAAGUUAGCAUUCAAAAGCCU
This is a non-coding RNA of Paramuricea clavata, 564 nucleotides long. The record is from the annotation of a GenBank genome assembly. NCBI's taxonomy places the organism in Eukaryota, Metazoa, Cnidaria, Anthozoa, Malacalcyonacea, Plexauridae.